CUCAGCUCCGUCCACAGCGUGACCUUUCUUCUUGUCCUUGGCAUUCCUCUUCUCCUUGAUCCUCUCCCUCAUCCUGGAGCCUUUCCGAACAAUGUCAUCACAUUUGAUAUCUGAGUGAGGAGUUGGGUGGAGAUGGAUGUGGACAAGGUGUUUUCGGGAGGAUUUGGGAGCGCAUAUUUCGUAGCAGGACGUUUCACUUCCAUACCUGCCGCCUCGGCUGCAAUUUCCAGGUCUUCUCUCUCCUCUGCUUCGGCCUGAGCUGCUUCCUGAGCUCUGAGGGUCUGAAGCGACAUCUUUUUUUCAUCCUUGUGCACAUGCAUUGGGCUCCAUGGAGUCCAUGAUGACGAUUUCGCCUGCAGAGCGGGAGAGAGUGCGCGAGGAAACGCUGGGUGAAAAGCCAUGCUGAGAACUGCCAUUGGUCAGGACCAUGUAGCCAUUCAUUAGUUUGGCUGUUCCCGUGGAGCCAGGCCACCCCCACACCCAGAAAAGCGGGAAAAGACAGCAGGUGGCGGCAGGAGGACAGAAGAGGACAGUCGGUGCAGCAUGUGAGAAAGAGGAAAAAAGACAAACGAAAAGCAAUGGCGAAACCAUUAAGACAUUAAGAAAAACCCAACAGCCAAGAGCAAGCAGUGAAAUUAGAAAUGUUUGUGAUCCUUGUACCUGCACUCCCCGAGUUGCUCGAUGCCUUAUUGGGAGCAGAGUAGAGGAAAUGCCUCAGAGAGCUGACUGCGUGUGAACCAACCAAGGUGUAGCGACCAAAGGCCCGGCAGUCC
Molecule: long non-coding RNA, 773 nt
Organism: Phyllopteryx taeniolatus (common seadragon)
Lineage: Eukaryota; Metazoa; Chordata; Actinopteri; Syngnathiformes; Syngnathidae
Exons: 4
Source: RefSeq, a predicted model, not a curated record